Molecule: long non-coding RNA, 642 nt
Organism: Oryzias melastigma (Indian medaka)
Lineage: Eukaryota; Metazoa; Chordata; Actinopteri; Beloniformes; Adrianichthyidae
Exons: 2
Source: RefSeq, a predicted model, not a curated record
CUAAUUUUGAAAAGUUUUCACAUUUUUCAAAGGUUUAAAAAGUUUUGAUAUUUUUCAAAAGUUUUUUAGUUUGUUGAGAAAAAAUCAUCCAAAUGAUACUGCUCCAAAAACUAAAUACAUUUUUAACUUUAAACAUGACAUUUUUAAUAAGGAUGGGAGGGGCUUGUUGUUUUUUCUCCCCAACAGAACUAAAUGCUGCUAAACGUUAAUUGAUUAAUUGAUUCCUUCAUCCUUACAGGAAGUGGGAGUUGGUCACGUGGACGGUGGCGUUCUCCAUCAGGGUCAGGUUGGACCGGAUGCAUUUCCCCGGAGCGGAGAACGCCGGCAGCUUCUGCACCAGGGACCCCAGCCGAAGGUCUGAGCCGAGGCCAGGGGGAGCAGCAGCAGGAGGACGAGGGAGGCCCGCAUGGUCGGAGGAGGUCUCAGCUGAUCCAGAAGAGAGUUCAGAUCGUCUUCAGUCGCAUGUCACCCGAAUCCAGCAGGAUUAAUCAUCAACCUGAGGCUUCAUCUGUGACCCUCAGGAGGUCAACGGCUCCAAUCCGACCAUUUCAAACUUGAUUUUGAGGAAUAUCCUGAAGUUUUAACACUUUUUUGACUGACCUGAAUAUUUGUCACCGAUUUAAAAGUUUUGUUUUUGCAGAA